AUGAAGAAGAUGGGGUCCAUGUACCCCAUCGUGCCCAUCGGGUUCGUCCGCCGGCAGACUGUGUCCUCCUCCAGGGGCUUCAUCUGCACAAUGCGCGCCGUUCCAAAGUCCCCUAGCCGGCUCACAUUCCCGGCGUCGAGAAGGAUGUUCGUCAGCUUCAGGUCCGCGUGGAUGAUAGCGUGGGGGAAGCUGGAGUGGAGGUGCGCUAGAGCGGAACGCUGUUCGGCGAGGAUCCUGAUGCGGUCCUUCCAUGGUAGCCCCUUGGAGAGCCCAUCCAUGAGCGUGCCAUUCGGGAGGUGCUCGUAA
Molecule: ribosomal RNA, 306 nt
Filed under: Triticum aestivum (bread wheat)
Lineage: Eukaryota; Viridiplantae; Streptophyta; Magnoliopsida; Poales; Poaceae
Description: partial small subunit ribosomal RNA
Source: RNAcentral